UGAGGAAUAUUGGUCAAUGGACGGAAGUCUGAACCAGCCAAGUAGCGUGCAGGAUGACGGCCCUAUGGGUUGUAAACUGCUUUUGUAUGGGGAUAAAGUUAGGGACGUGUCCCUAUUUGCAGGUACCAUACGAAUAAGGACCGGCUAAUUCCGUGCCAGCAGCCGCGGUAAUACGGAAGGUUCGGGCGUUAUCCGGAUUUAUUGGGUUAAAGGGAGCGUAGGCCGUUUGGUAAGCGUGUUGUGAAAUGUAGGAGCUCAACUUCUAGAUUGCAGCGCGAACUGUCAGACUUGAGUGCGCACAACGUAGGCGGAAUUCAUGGUGUAGCGGUGAAAUGCUUAGAUAUCAUGAAGAACUCCGAUUGCGAAGGCAGCUUACGGGAGCGCAACUGACGCUGAAGCUCGAAGGUGCGGGUAUCGAACAGG
Molecule: ribosomal RNA, 423 nt
Filed under: Verrucomicrobiota bacterium
Lineage: Bacteria; Pseudomonadati; Verrucomicrobiota
Description: Verrucomicrobia bacterium partial 16S ribosomal RNA
Rfam family: Bacterial small subunit ribosomal RNA
Source: RNAcentral